GGAUGUGAGCCCGUGUGGGUGUGAAGGAAGCUGGCAGAGCGCUGAGUUUGCUUUCCCUGCAGGCUCGCGCUCUGAUCCGGCAGAACGGGACCCCGCAGCUGCAGGAGCCCCGGCGCCUGUCGGCUCUGCUGCGGGACUUCCUCGAGUGCAGCCUGGAGCCGGACGAGGAGCGGCGCUGGGCUGCCCAGGAGCUGCUGCAGCACCCAUUUUUGUCAUCAGCCAAGCCUCUCUCCAGCCUGACCCCUCUGAUCACUGCAGCGAAGCAACUGAGGGAGCAGCGGAGGAGAUGAAGCACUUGAGGACAGCCUUUAGUUACAGUAGUUAGGACAACUAGUUAGUUUUGGUAGUUAGCACUGAUAGGUAGUUAUGGUAGUUAGUACUGCUAGUUGGUUAUGGUAGUUUGCAUAGUCUGUUUGUUAUGGUUCUUGUUGGUUAUGGCAGUUUUUGGAAUAAAAACUCUCUCAAACCUCGA
This is a long non-coding RNA of Haemorhous mexicanus (house finch), 472 nucleotides long. RefSeq lists it as uncharacterized. NCBI's taxonomy places the organism in Eukaryota, Metazoa, Chordata, Aves, Passeriformes, Fringillidae. The record is from RefSeq and is a predicted model, not a curated record. The transcript is spliced from 2 exons.